UUAUAUUCUCCACAGGGGGGGAUGAGAACCCCCGACCGGGGUUCGACAACUGGCGCAGCCAGUUGGACAGACCGCGCACGCAGCAAGCGGGCUGCCCCGCAGGGGCGAGCGAAGCGAGUCAAUCCCCCCCUCACCGCCA
This 139-nucleotide small RNA is filed under the name Klebsiella pneumoniae. Its description in RNAcentral is "RtT sRNA". It matches the Rfam family "RtT RNA". From Rfam's summary of the family: This family represents a bacterial cis-regulatory element known as RtT RNA. The record is from RNAcentral. Lineage: Bacteria; Pseudomonadati; Pseudomonadota; Gammaproteobacteria; Enterobacterales; Enterobacteriaceae.